This 1436-nucleotide long non-coding RNA is filed under the name Homo sapiens (human). RNAcentral describes it as "long non-coding RNA NONHSAT195514.1". Lineage: Eukaryota; Metazoa; Chordata; Mammalia; Primates; Hominidae. The record is from RNAcentral.
AUUUGAAGUGACUUGGCAAAAUACUGUAUUUUAGUGAUUUGAGAUGCACGUAUUUUUCAAAUUAUAAUAUCUUGAACUCAGGAUAUGUAUUACAAUUAGUUGUUAGUGUGUUAUAGUUGGCUGGACAAUGUUUUUUCUUUAUAAGGAAUACAAAGUAAUGGUGCCUCUUACAAUCAGUUGCAUCUUACGAGUCAAUGAAGCUCAUAAUAAUUUAUUGAAUACGUAAGAAUCCCCCAUUCUGCUUUUUCUUUCUCCUUUUUUCCAGGAAUGUAAAAAACUUCGUGGUGUAUUCUUGGGGUCAGCUUGUGGUCAUCAUGGACCUUAUAUUCCAGAUGUGCUCUUUUGGUGUGUCAUCUUGUUUUUCACAACAUUUUUUCUGUCUUCAUUCCUCAAGCAAUUUAAGACCAAGCGUUACUUUCCUACCAAGGUGCGAUCGACAAUCAGUGAUUUUGCUGUAUUUCUCACAAUAGUAAUAAUGGUUACAAUUGACUACCUUGUAGGAGUUCCAUCUCCUAAACUUCAUGUUCCUGAAAAAUUUGAGCCUACUCAUCCAGAGAGAGGGUGGAUCAUAAGCCCACUGGGAGAUAAUCCUUGGUGGACCUUAUUAAUAGCUGCUAUUCCUGCUUUGCUUUGUACCAUUCUCAUCUUUAUGGAUCAACAAAUCACAGCUGUAAUUAUAAACAGAAAGGAACACAAAUUGAAGAAAGGAGCUGGCUAUCACCUUGAUUUGCUCAUGGUUGGCGUUAUGUUGGGAGUUUGCUCUGUCAUGGGACUUCCAUGGUUUGUGGCUGCAACAGUGUUGUCAAUAAGUCAUGUCAACAGCUUAAAAGUUGAAUCUGAAUGUUCUGCUCCAGGGGAACAACCCAAGUUUUUGGGAAUUCGUGAACAGCGGGUUACAGGGCUAAUGAUUUUUAUUCUAAUGGGCCUCUCUGUGUUCAUGACUUCAGUCCUAAAGGUAAAAUUUCUUUAUUGCCGUGUUUUACAAUCUUAUUAUAACAUUUAUACUUAGUUAUGUGAACAUGAAACAUUAAAAUAUACUUAAAAUACCUAAAAUUAGGUUUGUUUUCCACAGUUUACUUGGGAAAUAAUUUCAUUAGGUUUUUAGUAUAGCAAGCAUUUCAGUGGUAAGCUGUAUAUAUUUUUAAAAUAAUGUAUACCAGGUGUAGUGGCUUACGCCUGUAAUCCCAGCAAUUUGGGAGGCCAAGGAAGGAGGAUUGCUUGAGGCCAGGUGUUCAAGACCAGCCUGGGCAACAUAAUGAGACCCUGUCUCUAUAAAAAUAAAAAUAAUUAGCCAGGUAUGGUGGCAUGCUCCCGUGGUGCCAGCUGCUCAGGAGGCUGAGGUGGGAGGAUCGCUUGAACCUGGGAGGUCAAGGCUGCAGUGAGCCGUGAUUGGGCCACUGCACUCCAACCUGGGUGACAAAGUGAGAUCCUGUCUC